GGUGGGAGCUGGCUUGCCUGCGAUGCAGGCGACUCGGUAUCUCUGGAGCAUCGAGUGGAUGCCAUCGCAGGCAAGCCAGCUCCCGCA
RNAcentral lists this unclassified non-coding RNA (87 nucleotides) under Pseudomonas sp. bs2935. The record is from RNAcentral. Lineage: Bacteria; Pseudomonadati; Pseudomonadota; Gammaproteobacteria; Pseudomonadales; Pseudomonadaceae.